GGCAAGCGUUGUCCGGAAUUAUUGGGCGUAAAGCGCGCGCAGGCGGUUCCUUAAGUCUGAUGUGAAAGCCCACGGCUCAACCGUGGAGGGUCAUUGGAAACUGGGGGACUUGAGUGCAGGAGAGGGGAGCGGAGUUCCAUGUGUAGCGGUGAAAUGCGUAGAGAUAUGGAGGAACACCAGUGGCGAAGGCGGCUCUCUGGCCUGUAACUGACGCUGAGGCGCGAAAGCGUGGGGAGCGAACAGGAUUAGAUACCCUGGUAGUCCACGCCGUAAACGAUGAGUGCUAAGUGUUAGAGGGUUUCCACCCUUUAGUGCUGCAGCUAACGCAUUAAGCACUCCGCCUGGGGAGUACGGUCGCAAGACUGAAACUCAAAGGAAUUGACGGGGGCCCGCACAAGCGGUGGAGCAUGUGGUUUAAUUCGAAGCAACGCGAAGAACCUUACCAGGUCUUGACAUCCUCUGACAACCCUAGAGAUAGGGCGUUCCCCUUCGGGGGACAGAGU
RNAcentral lists this ribosomal RNA (503 nucleotides) under uncultured Bacillota bacterium. Its description in RNAcentral is "bacterial SSU rRNA". It matches the Rfam family "Bacterial small subunit ribosomal RNA", at positions 533 to 1032 of the family's 1533-position model. Lineage: Bacteria; Bacillati; Bacillota. The record is from RNAcentral.